AUUGAACGCUGGCGGCAUGCUUUACACAUGCAAGUCGAACGGUAACAGCACUUCGGUGGCUGACGAGUGGCGAACGGGUGAGUAAUACAUCGGAACGUGCCUAGUAGUGGGGGAUAACUACUCGAAAGAGUAGCUAAUACCGCAUGAGAUCUAAGGAUGAAAGCAGGGGACCUUCGGGCCUUGCGCUACUAGAGCGGCUGAUGGCAGAUUAGGGAGUUGGUGGGAUAAAAGCUUACCAAGCCGACGAUCUGUAGCUGGUCUGAGAGGACGACCAGCCACACUGGGACUGAGACACGGCCCAGACUCCUACGGGAGGCAGCAGUGGGGAAUUUUGGACAAUGGGCGCAAGCCUGAUCCAGCAAUGCCGCGUGCAGGAUGAAGGCCUUCGGGUUGUAAACUGCUUUUGUACGGAACGAAAAGCCCUCUUCUAAUCCGGGAGGGUCAUGACGGUACCGAAAGAAAAAGCACCGGCUAACUACGUG
RNAcentral lists this ribosomal RNA (482 nucleotides) under uncultured bacterium. RNAcentral's name for it is "partial 16S ribosomal RNA". It matches the Rfam family "Bacterial small subunit ribosomal RNA", at positions 30 to 507 of the family's 1533-position model. The record is from RNAcentral.